Molecule: non-coding RNA, 686 nt
Organism: Mus caroli (Ryukyu mouse)
Lineage: Eukaryota; Metazoa; Chordata; Mammalia; Rodentia; Muridae
Source: RefSeq, a predicted model, not a curated record
UUGAAAGCCUCCACUCGGAUGCGCUCGCGGGUGGCGUGGGCCGAACGGUACUUGGCCGUGGCGCGCCGGCGACGGCGCUUUUCUUCGCGGCUCAGCUGCUGCGGGUGCGGGUAGAGCGCGGCCCGGCUGCCGCCCUUGCCGUCGCCGUCCGCCUCCUCCACCGGCUCUAGGUCGGACACGCUGCCCAGAACCUUGGUGUCUGCGCCGCCCAGAGACUCCGGGUCCGAGCCCACGCAAGUGGGGAGGCAAGGAGCAGGUAUCAAAGCGCAUUCCGAACCCACACAGAAACCUGCCGGUGGAGCGGCCAGUGGCGCUGGGACUGAAGAACCGCGGACCUCUGGGGCCGGCUGACAUCUUGUGUCUCCUCUGGCCAGACAUCAGCUGUUUUCUCCCGUCUCCCUUGCUCCUUCCCCUUCCCAGACACAGGAAAGAUCCCGAAGGAUUGAUGCCCAAAGGAUGGAUGCAUCUGGGUUUUAAUGGAGAUGCAGAGUGUGUUUCCUAUCCGAGGGCCUAGGGCAAGGCAGCUGGAGACUCCCAGCGCCUGAGGGUCUGGUCUGCGCUAGGGUGCGGGCGAACCCCAUCCUGGAACCUAGGCCGGGAAGGCUUUCUUGCCGUCCCCUCCCCGCGUUUCUCCGAAAUAAUAAAGAAAUGACCGAACACAUGUGUUCGGUCCUUUCAAAAGAAAA